AUUUAUUAAAAUAUAUAUGUAGUUUUUAGAGUGUUAAUUCUAAAAGUUAGCUUUAUUAAUUUAUAAUAGAAUAAGUGUGCUGGUGUGGCUCAACGGUAGAGCAGCUGACUUGUAAUCAGCAGGUUGUAGGUUCGAUUCCUAUCACCAGCUCCAGUAAAGACUAUGUUUUUAGCAUAGUCUUUUUUUAUUGUUUAAUGUGUCUUUUAUUUUGUACUACAUAUUUUUAUUAGCCUAAUAUAAAUUAUUGGAACAAAAGAUGACACAGUUUAAAAUUAUUGUUUUAAACUGUGCCUGUGAGUUUUAAAUCAAUCUACCAUGAAUCACCAUUCUGGCAUCAUCAAAUUCAUAGGUACAUGUAGAAAGUGUAAUUAUUUUAUCAUUAAUAUCUACUUUAAUAGGAGAUUUAUACAAUGAUUUAGAAGUAAUAUCGUUUAUGUAAUUUUGAUAAUCAGAUUCACUGUUAAAAUUUGUUUUUAGAUAAUCAUAAUCAGACUCUACAAUAUAAGCAGAAAAAACAUCAUAUAAAAAUUCUUUUCCAUUUAAGUUUAUUUUUAUUUUAUUAUUUUGUCUAAAGAAAUCAGCAUCUUUAAACUUAUUUAGGUUGUUGAACAUAGUUUUAUUUUUCAUAUUAUGUCCAUAUAUUAUGACAUUUUUGUCAUCAAGAGAUUUAUUUCUAUAAUCCAUAAAUAGUGUACCUGAAAUAGAAUCUUUUUUAUAAAAAUCUUUGUCAAGAUAGUAAGAAUUAUCUUUAGAUUGUACAACUGGAUAGUUUAUAUUUGUAUUCUCAACAGAAAGCCAAAAUUUAAAAUCACUGUUAAUCUUUGAUAAGUCCUCUUUUUUAUAUUCUUUUUUUUGAAGUUCUGAGGAUGUUUUAGUAUCAUGAUUGUAUUUGCUAAGUUUUGAGUAUAUAUUAAAUCCACUGUAAAGUAUUACUAAUAUUAGUAUAAUGUUAAUUAUUAUUCUAUAUAACUUUUUCAAUAUAUCACCUCGAGUUAAAUGUAGUUUAUAUACCUAUAUUACACUAUUUUUGAAUAAAUUUAAAUUUUUAGUAUAAUAUUACUUUGACAUGUAAAAGAAUUUGUGUUAACAUAACUAAGUAAAAUAAAUAUUAAGUAAGCCAGAUAAUCGC
Molecule: transfer RNA, 1129 nt
Filed under: Clostridioides difficile NAP07
Lineage: Bacteria; Bacillati; Bacillota; Clostridia; Peptostreptococcales; Peptostreptococcaceae
Description: 16S ribosomal RNA
Rfam family: tRNA (bases 79-150)
Source: RNAcentral